This 365-nucleotide unclassified non-coding RNA is filed under the name uncultured fungus. Its description in RNAcentral is "sequence contains ITS1". The stretch from base 1 to 107 matches the Rfam family "5.8S ribosomal RNA", at positions 50 to 154 of the family's 154-position model. Lineage: Eukaryota; Fungi. The record is from RNAcentral.
GAAAUGCGAUACUUGGUGUGAAUUGCAGAAUCCCGUGAACCAUCGAGUCUUUGAACGCAAGUUGCGCCCGAUGCCAUUAGGUUGAGGGCACGUCUGCCUGGGUGUCACAUAUCGAAGCCCCUUGCCAAUUUCCUGUUGAAUAGGUUUUGUGUGCAGGGUGAAUAUGUUGGCCUCCCGUGAGCUCUGUCUCAUGGUUGGUUGAAAAUUGAGACCUUGGUAGGGUGUGCCAUGAUAGAUGGUGGAUGUGUGACCCACGAGACCAAAUCAUGUCACAGCUCUAUUGAAUGCGGACUCUUUUACCCACAUGCGUUUUGCAACGCUCGUGAUGAGACCUCAGGUCAGGCGGGACUACCCGCUGAAUUUAA